RNAcentral lists this ribosomal RNA (434 nucleotides) under uncultured bacterium. RNAcentral's name for it is "bacterial SSU rRNA". It matches the Rfam family "Bacterial small subunit ribosomal RNA", at positions 958 to 1392 of the family's 1533-position model. The record is from RNAcentral.
UACGCGAAGAACUUACCAGGUCUUGACAUCCUCUGACACUCCUAGAGAUAGGACGUUCCCCUUCGGGGGACAGAGUGACAGGUGGUGCAUGGUUGUCGUCAGCUCGUGUCGUGAGAUGUUGGGUUAAGUCCCGCAACGAGCGCAACCCUUGAUCUUAGUUGCCAGCAUUCAGUUGGGCACUCUAAGGUGACUGCCGGUGACAAACCGGAGGAAGGUGGGGAUGACGUCAAAUCAUCAUGCCCCUUAUGACCUGGGCUACACACGUGCUACAAUGGAUGGUACAAAGGGCUGCAAAACCGCGAGGUCGAGCCAAUCCCAUAAAACCAUUCUCAGUUCGGAUUGUAGGCUGCAACUCGCCUACAUGAAGCUGGAAUCGCUAGUAAUCGUGGAUCAGCAUGCCACGGUGAAUACGUUCCCGGGUCUUGUACACACCG